UACGUAGGGUGCAAGCGUUAAUCGGAAUUACUGGGCGUAAAGCGUGCGCAGGCGGUUUUGUAAGCCAGAUGUGAAAGCCCCGGGCCUAACCUGGGAAUGGCAUUUGGGACUGCACGGCUAGAGUGCGGCAGAGGGGGAUGGAAUUCCGCGUGUAGCAGUGAAAUGCGUAGAUAUGCGGAGGAACACCGAUGGCGAAGGCAAUCCCCUGGGCCUGCACUGACGCUCAUGCACGAAAGCGUGGGGAGCAAACAGG
This 253-nucleotide ribosomal RNA is filed under the name uncultured bacterium. RNAcentral's name for it is "partial 16S ribosomal RNA". It matches the Rfam family "Bacterial small subunit ribosomal RNA", at positions 524 to 776 of the family's 1533-position model. The record is from RNAcentral.